CUCAUAUUUUUCCAUAUGGAGCCAUUUUCAUCGUCUACUCUUGAGCAACUUCACAUCCUGCCAGACCCUUUCUUCUUUGCCCUGACUUGGUUUUCAUUUUCCCUCCCCUUUCUUCUUCCUUGGUCUGCUACCAAAAAUAAGAACUAGAAAUAAGGGGAUUAAGUUGAUAGUCACAUGGACCUGUUUCAAUGCCUUUUCUCUACUUUCAGCCUACAAAAAGAAUAGGGCCAUGUUGUGUCUGUGGACCUUAGCAACACUAAAGGUAAGGACAAGAACCAUAACACCAGCCUCAGCAUGUGUACAUUUCCAGAAACUUACCUUGAACCAGGAUCAGGAGUAAAUCACAGCUUUCAGAUCCAUCUGUACUCCUCUCCCCAAAUUCGUUUCAUGCACGUAUCUCUUGUGUUGUCAACUGACUUUUUAUUUGACUUUUCAGGUCAGGCACUCUGCCAGCAGUAGCCAGAAGGAAAAAAAGAAAAGAGAUGCAGCCCAAACUCUCCAAGCAUGUGGCCCUCCUUGAGUACAUGCAUUUUGACAUCAGAAGCAUGUCAUAUAUCCAUCUUCAUAGCCUCUAUGACACCCAUGGAGUCUGGGUUGGCAGCCCAGUCUGUUGGCAGCCCCUAACAGAAAAUCAGAAAGGCACGGUACCCUACAUGCUGUUUGAUCAACUGAGACAACUCAAUAAAACCUAGUUGAUUGACGGCCACUUACUUCACUGAAUCAGUACCUGAGUACCAACCAGUCAGUGGUAGAGGAGUUACUCCAGGAGAACUACUGAAACCUGACCAACCAACAAGCAUUACUCCCCCAACCAAGAUACAUUGAAGUUUGAUGUCAACCCACUCUUGCCUUUGUAACUAACAUUAUUCCAAAGCAACGGCUGGCCCUAAUUCCUAUCUGAGGUUGGUGGCCUUAGAGAGACUGUGGCGAGUCAGUACACUCUUUAUUUUUCAGCUUCUUGUUUUAGUUAUUGAGCACUGACAUUUCCCCUCCACCAGGUAAAAUAAAACCUUUUAGCAACCUAAG
This 1026-nucleotide long non-coding RNA is filed under the name Chinchilla lanigera (long-tailed chinchilla). RNAcentral's name for it is "lncRNA (ENSCLAG00000026761.1)". Lineage: Eukaryota; Metazoa; Chordata; Mammalia; Rodentia; Chinchillidae. The record is from RNAcentral.